AACGAACGCUGGCGGCAUGCCUAACACAUGCAAGUCGAACGAGACCUUCGGGUCUAGUGGCGCACGGGUGCGUAACGCGUGGGAAUCUACCCUCAGGUUCGGAAUAACUCAGAGAAAUUUGAGCUAAUACCGGAUGAUGACGUAAGUCCAAAGAUUUAUCGCCUGAGGAUGAGCCCGCGUAGGAUUAGGUAGUUGGUGAGGUAAAGGCUCACCAAGCCGACGAUCCUUAGCUGGUCUGAGAGGAUGAUCAGCCACACUGGGACUGAGACACGGCCCAGACUCCUACGGGAGGCAGCAGUGGGGAAUAUUGGACAAUGGGCGAAAGCCUGAUCCAGCAAUGCCGCGUGAGUGAUGAAGGCCUUAGGGUUGUAAAGCUCUUUUAACCGGGAUGAUAAUGACAGUACCGGGAGAAUAAGCUCCGGCUAACUCCGUG
RNAcentral lists this ribosomal RNA (433 nucleotides) under uncultured bacterium. RNAcentral describes it as "partial 16S ribosomal RNA". It matches the Rfam family "Bacterial small subunit ribosomal RNA", at positions 29 to 507 of the family's 1533-position model. The record is from RNAcentral.